AGGGAUCAUUACCGAGUAUCUUACUCCAAACCCCUGUGAACUUACCAUUGUUGUUGCUUCGGCGGGCCGCGCCUCGCGAUGCCGCCCUCCCCUCCGGGGGCGGGGCUGCGUCCGGGGCGCGCUACGGCCCGCCGGGGGUCCCAAACUCUCUAUUAUAACGGAUCUUCUGAGGUAGAAAUACAAAUAAAUCAAAACUUUUAACAACGGAUCUCUUGGUUCUGGCAUCGAUGAAGAACGCAGCGAAAUGCGAUAAGUAAUGUGAAUUGCAGAAUUCAGUGAAUCAUCGAAUCUUUGAACGCACAUUGCGCCUAUUAGUAUUCUAGUAGGCAUGCCUGUUCGAGCGUCAUUUCAACCCUCAAGCCCUACCGCUUGGUGUUGGGAGCCUACCGCCUGGCGGUAGCUCCCCAAAUGCAGUGGCAGCGUCAGGGCACCUCUGAGCGUAGUAAAUCUAUUAUCUCGCUUUGGCCAGGUGUCCCGGCGGUAGCCAUCAAGCCUAUUAUCUAUUGAAUAGUUGACCUCGGAUCAGGUAGGAAUACCCGCUGAACUUA
Molecule: ribosomal RNA, 548 nt
Filed under: Xylariales sp.
Lineage: Eukaryota; Fungi; Ascomycota; Sordariomycetes; Xylariales
Description: eukaryotic LSU rRNA
Rfam family: 5.8S ribosomal RNA (bases 193-346)
Source: RNAcentral